Molecule: unclassified non-coding RNA, 1410 nt
Filed under: Hevea brasiliensis (rubber tree)
Lineage: Eukaryota; Viridiplantae; Streptophyta; Magnoliopsida; Malpighiales; Euphorbiaceae
Source: RNAcentral
GCAGAAUUAAUUAGUUUCAGUGAUGUACUCACGUGGCUCCAACCAGCAUACACAGAAGCAACAAACUUUUAAAUGAGUAUAACUUUCAUACAAGAAGUUAGGUUAAAAUACAUAGAUACUGUUGUUCCUUGGUAAAUGAAUCCUUUGCGCAGAUGGGACAAGCAAUUAACGGAUGGAACAAUUAGUAUAGUUACUCAAAGGGCUACUGGAAACGUCAAAAUAUUUACCCCCAGCACGCAGCUUUAUGUCCUUCCGCUUCUAUACGUUCUGCCAGAGUCUCAAGGAUAAUGAUAUGGCCUCCAUAUCACUGAAAAAUAUCAGAAGCCAGCUUGUGGGUUAGCAAAACAGCCUAGACGAUGGUACUAUAUCUAGGACGACUAAUAUAUGAGCAAAGCCAACGAUAGAGUCUAGCCAUAUCAUAAUGAUAUAUUCUGUUCAAUCAGAUUAAACAUUGAAAACCACUCAAAAGUGAAUCAGAAACCAGAAUAUGACCCACUUCUUAUUUUAGCUAUUAGAGUAUCAAAAUCAAAAAGCAUAAAGAAUAUCAAAAUCACAUAAAUUAACACUUAACAGGAAAACUUCAGGUAACGAGGGGACUAUCAAUAUGCAUGCAAAUUAUGCAGUAAUUGCAUGAAUCCCUUAAAUUAGUGACUCCAGCUUAUCCAGCUUAUUUAUCAUUAAGAAAGAGUUCCUCACCUCAGGAUAACAGUUUUGACGGACAAUAGUCUGGCUGUCAGCACUCACAUACACUUCACAUGACAAUCUUGCCUUGAUAGGAAUUUUGAAAAACAAGAGCCCAAGCUCUCCAUUAAUCUUGGUAUCGGUAUCAAGAGGGAUAACACCCCUAGUUAAAUCCUCGAUCAAGUAAAACACAUCGCGUAUAAUCUGGAGCCCAUUUAAAUCAAGCGUGGCAUUCACAUACGACGAUCCUCUCGCCCUAAGUUUCCCUCCCUGAGAAUUCACAAUCCCUAGCUCUCUCCCUCUGUACCCAACAGAAACAUCGAGAGAGUCAUACUCCAAAGAGAAGAAGUCACUGUUUCGAACCCUGAUGACAAGAGAGAAAGAAAGGUCGAGAGUGAGUUUCGGGUACGAGUUGACACGGAUGUGAUUGAGGCGAAUUCGAGCGACUUGGAGAGUAGGGUCGGAGGGGUAGAGAAAGAAAACGGCAGCAGAGAGGAGGAGGAUGGCGGCAGCGAAGAGGAUCCAGCGGCGGAGGAAGACGAGUGAAGGGUUGGGAGGUGGGCGGGGGUAGGAAAGAACGAUGACGUUUUGGGGAACACGGUGAGAAGGUACAGAAGAAUAGCGAACGGAAGAGGAUUUUGAAGUCAUGGCUUCAGAUUUCAGGGAAACGUCGGUGAUGUUGUCCUGCUCCUGGGCUUAAUAUGAUUGCUAAACCAAACGCCCCUUUGC